Molecule: transfer RNA, 86 nt
Filed under: Streptomyces thermodiastaticus
Lineage: Bacteria; Bacillati; Actinomycetota; Actinomycetes; Kitasatosporales; Streptomycetaceae
Description: tRNA-Thr
Source: RNAcentral
CUGGGACAGGUCGUCGGCGACGGCGAGCGCCGGCUCGUGCCCGGCGGGCAGGCCGAGCACCGCCGGAUCCCAGCCGGAGUCCCGCA